RNAcentral lists this ribosomal RNA (454 nucleotides) under uncultured bacterium. RNAcentral describes it as "bacterial SSU rRNA". It matches the Rfam family "Bacterial small subunit ribosomal RNA", at positions 340 to 786 of the family's 1533-position model. The record is from RNAcentral.
UACGGGAGGCAACAGUGGGGAAUAUUGCACAAUGGGCGCAAGCCUGAUGCAGCCAUGCCGCGUGUAUGAAGAAGGCCUUCGGGUUGUAAAGUACUUUCAGUCGUGAGGAAGGUGUUAAGGUUAAUAACCUUAGCAAUUGACGUUAGCGACAGAAGAAGCACCGGCUAACUCCGUGCCAGCAGCCGCGGUAAUACGGAGGGUGCGAGCGUUAAUCGGAAUUACUGGGCGUAAAGGGCACGCAGGCGGUUAAUUAAGUUGGAUGUGAAAUCCCCGGGCUUAACCUGGGAAUGGCAUUCAAGACUGGUUAGCUAGAGUCUUGUAGAGGGGGUAGAAUUCCAUGUGUAGCGGUGAAAUGCGUAGAGAUGUGGAGGAAUACCGGUGGCGAAGGCGGCCCCUGGGACAAAGACUGACGCUCAUGUGCGAAAGCGUGGGGAGCAAACAGGGAUUAGAUACC